GAUUCAACGGCCGCGGUACUCUGACCGUGCAAAGGUAGCACAAUCACUUGUUCUUUAAAUGAGGACUAGAAUCAAUGGCAUCACGAGGGUCCCACUGUCUCCUUUUUCUAAUCAGUGAAAUUGAUCUCCUCGUGAAGAAGCGAGGAUAACUUUAUAAGACGAGAAGACCCCAUGGAGCUUAAAACUCAAUAGAUAACCCUACAACCACUAAAUAUUUUAGGGGGCCUAUCUAUUAGUUUUCGGUUGGGGUGACCACGGAGAACAGCCUAACCUCCGUAAUGAAAAGAAUAAAAUCAUAAUCUAAGAGUUACACCUCUAGGAAUUAAUAAAUUAACUUACAGUGAUCCAAUACUUUAUUGAUCAAUGGACCAAGUUACCCUGGGGAUAACAGCGCUAUCCACUUCUAGAGUCCAUAUCGCCAAGUGGGUUUACGACCUCGAUGUUGGAUCAGGGUGUCCCAGUGGUGCAGCC
RNAcentral lists this ribosomal RNA (471 nucleotides) under Ptychadena cooperi (dark-bellied grass frog). RNAcentral's name for it is "partial 16S ribosomal RNA". It matches the Rfam family "Bacterial large subunit ribosomal RNA", at positions 1921 to 2560 of the family's 2925-position model. The record is from RNAcentral. Lineage: Eukaryota; Metazoa; Chordata; Amphibia; Anura; Ptychadenidae.